RNAcentral lists this ribosomal RNA (468 nucleotides) under uncultured bacterium. RNAcentral describes it as "partial 16S ribosomal RNA". It matches the Rfam family "Bacterial small subunit ribosomal RNA", at positions 28 to 507 of the family's 1533-position model. The record is from RNAcentral.
GAUGAACGCUGGCGGCGUGCUUAACACAUGCAAGUCGAACGGAAAGGCCCUGCUUUUGUGGGGUGCUCGAGUGGCGAACGGGUGAGUAACACGUGAGUAACCUCCCCCUGACUUUGGGAUAACAUCAGGAAACUGGGGCUAAUACCGCAUAGGAGCUCCUGCUGCAUGGUGGGGGUUGGAAAGUGUAGGCGGUUGGGGCUGGACUCGCGGCUUAUCAGCUUGUUGGUGGGGUAGUGGCUUACCAAGGCUUUGACGGCUAGGCGGCCUGAGAGGGUGGCCGGCCACAUUGGGACUGAGAUAGGGCGCAGACUGCUACGGGAGGCAGAGGUGGGGAAUCUUGCACAAUGGGCGGAAGCCUGAUACAGAAGCGCCGCGUGCGUGAUGACGGCCUUCGGGUUGUAAACCGCUUUCGCCUGUGACGAAGCGUGAGUGACGGUAAUGGGUAAAGAAGCACCGGCUAACUACGUG